CCUACGGGAGGCAGCAGUAAGGAAUAUUGGGCAAUGGAGGCAACUCUGACCCAGCCAUGCCGCGUGAAGGAUGACUGCCCUACGGGUUGUAAACUUCUUUUGUAUGGGAAUAAACCCGGUUACGUGUAACCGGUUGAAUGUACCAUAAGAAUAAGCAUCGGCUAACUCCGUGCCAGCAGCCGCGGUAAGACGGAGGAUGCAAGCGUUAUCCGGAUUUAUUGGGUUUAAAGGGAGCGUAGGCGGGAUAAUAAGUCAGUGGUGAAAUCUUGGGGCUCAACCCCGAAACUGCCAUUGAUACUGUUAACCUAGAGUACAUUUGAUGUGGGCGGAAUGUGUCAUGUAGCGGUGAAAUGCUUAGAUAUGACACAGAACACCGAUUGCGUAGGCAGCUCACAAAACUGUAACUGACGCUGAGGCUCGAAAGCGUGGGGAUCAAACAGGAUUAGAUACCCUGGUAGUCCACGCCGUAAACUAUGAUCACUCGAUGUUGGCGAUACACUGUCAGCGUCGUGAGACGAACGACAUUAAGUAGAUCCACCGUCGGGGUAGGUACGGUCGGCGACGACGUAGAAACGUACGAAAGUAGUAAGUUAGUACGGACGUAGAGACGUUAGCCGACGGACGACGACGAGGGGAGGAGG
This 641-nucleotide ribosomal RNA is filed under the name uncultured bacterium. RNAcentral describes it as "bacterial SSU rRNA". The stretch from base 1 to 539 matches the Rfam family "Bacterial small subunit ribosomal RNA", at positions 338 to 873 of the family's 1533-position model. The record is from RNAcentral.